Molecule: long non-coding RNA, 204 nt
Filed under: Glycine max (soybean)
Lineage: Eukaryota; Viridiplantae; Streptophyta; Magnoliopsida; Fabales; Fabaceae
Description: long non-coding RNA (GMAX_LNC003584)
Source: RNAcentral
GGUCAUUGUAGGUAGAAACCAAUACUAACAUCUUGUUUGAAAGAAGAGAUAAAAGAAACUAGAUUGUUCAACCUAGACGUCAUUGAUCGGCAAGAACACCACCAUCAAUGAGGAGAGUUAAGAAGCAUCAGCAGUGAUGAUGCUAAGAACACCCGUGCAACUCUGAGAAAGAUAUUAGAGAUUGAAGCCAAAAUAUUGAGACAG